GUCUUCGUAGCUUAUAGAAAGCAUGGCACUGAAGAUGCCAAGAUGGUAGCCACACGCACCCAAAGACA
This 68-nucleotide transfer RNA is filed under the name Cisticola juncidis. RNAcentral's name for it is "tRNA-Phe". It matches the Rfam family "tRNA". Rfam says of the family: Transfer RNA (tRNA) molecules are approximately 80 nucleotides in length. Their secondary structure includes four short double-helical elements and three loops (D, anti-codon, and T loops). The record is from RNAcentral. Lineage: Eukaryota; Metazoa; Chordata; Aves; Passeriformes; Cisticolidae.